RNAcentral lists this long non-coding RNA (887 nucleotides) under Monodelphis domestica (gray short-tailed opossum). RNAcentral's name for it is "lncRNA (ENSMODG00000033868.2)". The record is from RNAcentral. Lineage: Eukaryota; Metazoa; Chordata; Mammalia; Didelphimorphia; Didelphidae.
UAGACCCAUUUUGCUCACAAGACAUGACAGUCUCAAAAGCUACCACUUUAGCAUGUGGGUUCCUAGAAGGACAUCUGUCUUGGUCAGACAUAGCUGGAGUGUUGUGUUGAGUGGCGGACCUCACAUUUGUUGUUGAAGUUUUUCAUACCUUUACCUUCUGUCUUGGAAUCGAUACUGUGUACUGGUUCCAAGGCAAAGAGAGCUAAAGGCUGGGCAAUGGGGGUUGUGACUUGCCCAGGGUCACACAGCUAGGAAGUAAUUGAGGCCAGUUUUGAACCCAUGACUUCCCAUCUCUAGGACUGGCUCUCAAUCCACUGAGCCACUUAACUGUCCCCAAUGGACUCCACAUUUUAAGAACAUUGACACACUGGACUGGGUACCAAAGAAAAUUAAGAAGAUGAUGGGAGGACCAGAGUCAGAGCCAAGGAUAACUCAAAAUGGAGAAAAGCAAGAGAUAAAUUGAGUUCAUCUGUCACAAAGCUGGCGGUUGGCAGAAACAGACGAGAGGAAAAUAGUCGUGCACCUGAGGAGUCAACUCUAGCAGAGUGGAAGGAAAGGCACUCGUGGUGGGGAGACAUGGGAAGACAGGGAGAAAGGCUUAGGGCCAAUCAAGUGACCCCAAAUCCUAUCUCCAUAACCACUAGGUGCUUUAUUUAAGACUCAGAAGAUGCAGCUGGAAAGAACUCUAAGCCACAACCUAGAAAGAUGUUUCCCUUUGCAUAUGGGAGUCAAUCAACAACCACUGAUUAAGCAAUUACUAUGAGCUGAUAACUAUGCUGAGUUCUCAGAAUUUUUUUUAAAUGAUCCCUGCCCUCAAGGAAAUUACAUUCAUAAAUCAGCACAUACAAGGCAUUCAUCCUUCAUUUUUCAUAAAGGACCAACAAGAA